GACGAACGCUGGCGGCGUGCCUAAUACAUGCAAGUUGAGCGCUGAAGGUUGGUACUUGUACCAACUGGAUGAGCAGCGAACGGGUGAGUAACGCGUGGGGAAUCUGCCUUUGAGCGGGGGACAACAUUUGGAAACGAAUGCUAAUACCGCAUAAAAACUUUAAACACAAGUUUUAAGUUUGAAAGAUGCAAUUGCACCACUCAAAGAUGAUCCCGCGUUGUAUUAGCUAGUUGGUGAGGUAAGGGCUCACCAAGGCGAUGAUACAUAGCCGACCUGAGAGGGUGAUCGGCCACAUUGGGACUGAGACACGGCCCAAACUCCUACGGGAGGCAGCAGUAGGGAAUCUUCGGCAAUGGACGAAAGUCUGACCGAGCAACGCCGCGUGAGUGAAGAAGGUUUUCGGAUCGUAAAACUCUGUUGGUAGAGAAGAACGUUGGUGAGAGUGGAAAGCUCAUCAAGUGACGGUAACUACCCAGAAAGGGACGGCUAACUACGUG
Molecule: ribosomal RNA, 497 nt
Filed under: uncultured bacterium
Lineage: Bacteria
Description: partial 16S ribosomal RNA
Rfam family: Bacterial small subunit ribosomal RNA
Source: RNAcentral